Molecule: ribosomal RNA, 348 nt
Filed under: uncultured bacterium
Lineage: Bacteria
Description: bacterial SSU rRNA
Rfam family: Bacterial small subunit ribosomal RNA
Source: RNAcentral
GAUGAACGCUAGCGGCAGGCUUAAUACAUGCAAGUCGUGGGGCAGCAUGAGUAGCAAUACUUGAUGGCGACCGGCAAACGGGUGAGGAACACGUACACAACCUUCCUUCAAGCGGGGAAUAGCCCAGAGAAAUUUGGAUUAAUACCCCAUAAUAUAUUUGAUAAGGCAUCUUAUUAAUAUUAAAGCUUCGGCACUUGAUGAUGGGUGUGCGGCUGAUUAGAUAGUUGGCGGGGUAACGGCCCGCCAAGUCUACGAUCAGUAGCUGAUGUGAGAGCAUGAUCAGCCACACGGGCACUGAGACACGGGCCCGACUCCUACGGGAGGCAGCAGUAAGGAAUAUUGGACAAU